CUUUUCCCUUUCGCGUUGUUGCGUGGUCGCUAGUUGUUCGCGCUAUUUGUUAGGGGGAACACCACGUAUUAUAACUCUCGGUAUUUCACAUCAAGAAGCCAUAGAUUGGGUCAAAUUGCACGUUUAACAAGAUUUAAAACCUAUAGAAACAAAACAGUCUUGUGUCUGGAACCGGGUCCAACGUAAUAAGUAUGGCGUACAAUGACAUUUGAUGGUGGAUAACGUUUCAAACAUAUUUAUUAUGAACAAUAAUGUGUUUAUUUGGGAGAAAUGGAGCUGGUAAAACUCACAUCAUGCAGGGUUUUCCCUCCAUACAGUUUGUAUGUCCCAUGAAUUUCAUCACCUUUCUCAGAGGGAAGGGAGUGUUUGGCAAACACUGUUUGCUGCGUAGCUCAGCUAGGUUUGGUGCCACAUCUGCUUAUGUUGAAAUAAUUUUCAACAAUGAUGAUAGACAUUUACCAGAAGAAUGAAAUGAAGUGGAUCUGAGUGAGAAAUAGCAUCAAUACUUGCACAAUGCAAGUUGGUAAAACAACUAUUCUAAAUAAUACUUUAUUCUAAAUCUUUCAUCCAAAUCUGGUUGAUACUGAAAGAGCAGCGCCGUCAACAGCUAACUGCAAAACUUAGUCGGGAGGCUUUAUUUUCUUCCGUUUUGCAAAUAGUUGUUCACGCUCGGAUUUGAAAAAAAAAAGAAAAUAACUUAAACGUAAAAAAAAAAAAAAAAAAAGAUCAAGAGCCAAAGAUCGACAGUACAGCAGCCAUAGAGUCAGUGAACAAUGUGUGGAAUCUGAUAUGCUAGCCCUUGAAACCCCAGCUGCCCUUCUGCCUCAACGAGACUAUGAAGCAAUUAUAAUUUCAGGAGGUCCCAACUCAGUUUACGCGGCGGAUGUCCAGCUAUACGACCCAGCAAUCUUUACUAGCGGUCUUCCAUUACCUGGGAAUUUGUUAUGCAUGCAAUUACUCAAUAAGAAAUUAGAAAAAAGAUGGUCACGAAGAUGGGCAAUUCGAGAUCCAACAUCCAAGUAGAAACGAGUGCCCAUUUUUUAAGGCUUAGAGACUGGGUCAGUGUACAUCGCGUACUUGAACGUGGAACGGUACUGCGUGGAGGUCAUGGUGGAAAUGGGAGGAGCCAAAGGUACGGCGUGGAAGUCAUCUUGGAAAUGGGAGGAGCUAGAAGCCGUGGAAAAUGCCGGAGGCUGGGUAUCCUGUGGAAUUGAUUCCGAAAAUCGUGAAUAAUGUGCUAGGAUUCGCCGUGGCGGAAACACCUAGAGGCUUCAAUCAGCCAGCCUGUGACGGAAUGGCCGCCUUACGCGAAGUUGCGUCUAUUUCGUGGAGGAAGUUUGAACUCGAUUUACAACAAGAUAUCGUUGCGUUUAUAUUUGCUCCAAAGCCCGGUUUGGAUGACGCUAGUUAGUAUCCAGCACAUCACUGGCGAGGUACUCGAAGACUGUGUCUUUUUCGAACAUGAAGGAACCCUGUACAUGGCUUUGGCCAUACAGCUUGGUGCAAUGCAGUAUUGUCGAAAUUCCAGAUUGCAAUGCAUAAUUUAUGAGGGGUUAGGGACCACUAUGGAUAUGAAGCACGCUUUUGCGGCUCCUGAACUUAAGAAAUAUGUGUCCUUCAGUCAUCCGAUACUGGUCCCUUGGGGCCAUUUCACAUAGAUUCUUCCUUUCGUCUGAGUCGAUUUACUGAUGCGGAGGAUUCAGAGUUAUUGGAAAUUCUAAACAUUGACCCGGAUUGAGUGUUCCAGUUUGAUACUUCUCUAACGGAAGCUCAGUGGUGCCUUCUUCCAGGAGGAUCAAAUAAUUCCUACAUCUAUUGCCUUCAAGGUGUUGCACUAAUUUAGCGAAGGAUUUGUGAAACCAAAAGAAAUUAAGGGCGUUGAAGAAAUACUAGACAUCGCAGCAAAAAAUUUCUGGCUAGAAUCCACCACUUUUACGGGUCGUAUACGUCUCAAUGGUGCAUUACUGCAUUAUUAACGGUUGGGAUUACGAUGAAUUUUUCCGUCAAGCAUGGCGCUACUCUUCAUCAGAACAUACUGUUCUUUAUCAUGUGUGGAUCGGAGGUCUUAAAGCUGAAAAUGUUUAGGUUGGUUCACUAUUGGAGGAUCACUGCCCUCGCGUUGGCUACUGAAAUCCGGAGAGAAAAUAAAUGGAGGUGCUGAUUUGGUUAGUUUGGAUGUCCGAGGUAAUAUCGACGUUGGCAAUAACUCCAUCAACGGUGUAGCUGUGGAGGAUACAUUGCGAAAGAAUGCCUCAUAUAUCGUCAUUCAAGGGACGAAAUCAUUUUCCGCUAUCGAAGUUAAAAACAAUAUUACAACCAGCACCGUCAAUAAGAAAAGCGAGAAAGAGCAGAAUUUCACCACAUCGGUGCGGAUCGUCGGUACUGUACAGGUAGUUGAAAGCUUCCGCAGUGACUGGAUUAACGGAAUAAACGUGUACGUGCUCCCCGGAGUACUCGUUGACAAGAAUGCCCACCAAAUCGGAAUAAAGGAUUUGUCCAUUUUACUGGUCCUUUGCUUGUUGACGAUGCUGAAGUGGAUUCUCUAAACGAUCUCCUUAUCAAAGAUUUAUUGAGCACCUCGGGCCAGCAAACUAUCCUAGCGAGUAUUGAAGUCGACGUCCUAGAUGUCCAAGGAAACAUUGACUGUCCAGAUAUUAAUGGACGAAAUGUGGAUGACUUCCUGUACACUGAUGAAGAUGACACACGCAUUGUGCUGGGUCGGGUAUGGAUCUCAGACGACUUGGUCAUGGAAAACGGAAGUUUUAACAGAGUGGAUAUCAUCAAGUGGUUGGAUCCACCGUCUUUGCGGAUAGAUUCGAACAUUAACGAAAAACGGUGAUGAAGCCGCACACGCUGCUCAUGUCCAGAAGAUCUAUACGAUUGAUCUUUCAAAUCUUCCCCAAAACUAUUGGACAAAAUCAAUAGACCAAUCGAUCCUUGUUAACGUUCGAAUGCCCAUUUGAAGUUGGAAUGAAAGAAAAUAUUACUGCUCGGACCUUCAUGGAACGCUUCCUCGAUCGUGAUUUCUUCUGACGAGAACCAACCAGACGUUCAACGUUGAAGUGUAGUUGACCGAUGAUGUUACCGUACACGGGGAUAUGGUGAUUCGCGUUGCCAACUAACCAUUCACGGAAACCUGGCUGUAGAGGAGACGUUUAAUAAUCUGAACAUUCCGCAAGGCAUAACUGAUCCAUACGGCAAAGUGGCACAAUCUUCACAUCCAACGUCACCAUUUAUGGCGACGUCGUCAGUUCAGCGGGUUAUGUCAUCACACUGAGUAUGGAGGCUGGAGUUAUGCUGGAUGAUUUUGUUGCAGCUGCAGCUACGAUAGACGAGGACGCAACCAUUAUUGAACACGUACAUUUUAAGCGACAUUCAGAAAUGGAUGAUUUGCUCAACGAAAAUUCACUGAACGGCUGAGAUGUCAACGAUAUUGUUUCCAAAGGUUUAAGAAGAAAAACUUUGGAUUUCGUACAGUGGCCAUAGAUUACGAUUCACGGUCACGUAACAUUUAGGGACUCGUUUGAAACGGACACAAUCAACAGCUGCAAAGUUGAAGAAUAUUUAAGUCAAGGAGUGAAUAUGACAGACCCCAAAACAAUCUCUGGAACAAAAAAAAAAAUAAACACGCCAUCUUAUCGCUGUCGAAAAGGAAGUCACUCCAGGCUUAUUUAAUGGCGGUCAUCUGAAUUUCUCAAUGAUGUUGACAGUCUCUGAUAACCAGACCAAUACUGGCGACUGCAUCUUUGAUCAUCUGAAAUCCGAAAUAUCAAGUUGCGAGCUACUAACGCGCAGAAUCUCACCGAUUUUGUCCUGAUAGCUGGCACAAGUGAUGUCCAACCCAUCACUGGACCGAUGGAUAUUCAGCGCGUCACUGGUGAAAAUUCACUUAAAAUUGAAGACCAUGUCCUGGAUGGAUACAACAUUACAACCUAACUGAGUAUCUCAAUGUAACGGAAUUAGCUCAUCUCGACAGCUUGUUGGGUUGUCCAUCCAAAAUGGAUCGUUAUUGCUUGACCAGCCCUCGGAAAACAAUCCUGACCUUGCUACAGUAUCACUUAGAGCCUUACGAAAAGACAGAGCCCAAGCUGUUACCGGUAAUUCUAGAUAAUGCCUAUCUAGUUAACUACGCAACCUGGUAUGCCGUGGAAGAGCCACCUUUGGCUACCCCCCUUUCCACGAUGACUUCUACGCUGUAUCUUUGGCUCCUCCCAUUUCCACUAUGACUUCCACGCCGUACCGUUCCACGUUCCAAGUACAUGAUAGACACUGACCCUAGAGACUCGGCAAAUGGUAUUGCUGACCCGUGGUAACAGCGUCGACCAGGUUGCAGAAGGCUUGCGUUGCGUCGCAAAAUGUUCGCGUCGUAUUAUUUCCGCAAUUGCUGAUACUGACACCGUCUUUGCAGAGUCCAGUUCCAUCCUGAAGUUGAUUUGACUGAAAACGAAAAGAAUUCCAGCAGCUGCUUGCUUCAUUAGAGCUUAUUGUGGUGCUGUAAUAGUAUGUUUGCAGAAUUGUGAAAUUGCUUCCCUAAAGAAUGUACUCAGCACUGAAAAAUGAGCACAGCAAAAACGGUUGGUCGCAAUUCUAGACCUCAAAUGUUCAGAUUUCCCUGUUAUACGAGCGGGUCAUGAAGGAAAUGGCAAGGGUUCCUACACGGAAAUGGCGGGUAUUACAUGGCAAGAAGAAUACAUCCUCGACUUCACUUCUGUGCUGCAGAAAAAUCAGCAAAUCUAAAUCCUCAUUUUCUGCCGUUCCAAUGCGUCUCCGUCACUCCAAUGCUUUCGACAACAGGACCACAGCAGCAUUCUUCAAUCUGACUACUCCUGAUUGUCUUGAAGAUGUAUUGCUAUUGCUCGUCAUGCCCGGUUUGAAAUUUUACAGGACUGCGUUGUAAAUUGGUUUCACCUUUACGAAGAUUUAGAUCACAUGUUUACUGUGAAAGCGAUCAUGCGUCUGUUACCGAAAAUGGCUCUCUCCAUUGGCGACAUCAGAACUCCUCAGUGUGUCAUUCUGAUGCAGAGCUCCUGAAAUGAAUUGAUCGUUCUGAACCAUCUCAGGCCAUAGCUGAAAUUAUAGGAAAGUGAUUGCUUUUUGGUUGGUUUCUUCGCCGUCAGAUGCAUCAAUCGGAAUGGUGUUCACUUCCUCGGCGUCAUUGCUCACAAAACUUUGUGGUGCAUUGUUCUUAUCUCGAAGUUGUAUCAACUCGCUAAGGCAAAUCGGAAGAGGGUACUAUAUUUUCCUUGACAUAAAGAACUUUAAUGCAUUAGCAAGUCAUCCGCCUCCAAACAGAUCAAACGAACGAGAUAUCGUGCCUCGUCCGGUGACUUGACGUUUGGUUUAUCAAAGUAAUUUCAUUUCGAUUUGACUCUGAAAUACUUUACAGUAUGGCUGGCCGAUGCUUAACCAUUGAGCCGUAAGUCACAUUAAAUAGUUCAAUGUAUCGCUUUGUCAUUUAGGUUAAAGUACAUAGUUUAUACGUUCACUUAGAAUUAUAUUGUUAAAUGGAAUUUUCCAAGGAAAAUGCAUGAAUUAUUGUUCACUUUGCAGACUGUAUGAGCUGCCAUUUAAUAAGCUAAAUUACAUGGUUUCCGCGGGAAGUCCAUAUUUUAGAAGUCCAUUUUGGACAGUCCAAGUCCACAGUUUAGUAACACCCGCUGAUUAACUAAUUCUUUUUUCUCAAGCAGACGAACUGUUUGAUCAUUUUUGUCAUUGUCACUUACAUCGCCAUCUAGCGGAAAUUCUGUUAGGAAAAUAAGCCUGACUUUUACUUUCUGGUUCAGUUACGUGAAAUAUUGCUAUAAAAUUACAUGAUUUGUAUUCGAAAUUCAACGACAACGUCGAAAAUUUAGUUCAAUAUGGCUUGGAAGAAACAGUAUGAGUUAUUUUUUGUUUAAGAAAGUCGGGCUUUCUUAGCUUAUGAAAAAGUGGGAGGGUUUCAAGUUUGGUUUUAAAGCGGGUGGCGCCUUGACCACUCCUGUAUAUUUUCAAGACAUCUAGGGGAGAAAUAAAUAACUCCGUAGAAUUUUUUAUGGAUAUGUCAGCUGUCAUGUCAGCUGUUCUGUUUCGCAUGGCUUCGGAUUGAGGUUGGAUGCUUAAACUAAUGUCUCUCUUCUUGAAAUCUUCUUGAAAUUUAACCACCGAUUCCGUGUGUUUGAGCUGAGUCUUGUGAAUUCCAUCAAUGCAGAGUUGUUCAAGGAGGAAGCAUGGCUUGGCUUUGCUACCACGUUUUUCAUCUCCUUUAGUCCAAUAUACCUAAUUUGUUCCAAAGGCGAUGCGUAAAAAAAGUAGUUUUUUAAAAUAUAUUUCCCUAUCUAAAUCUCUUGAAUUCUUGGAGGUGUCAUCAGGUAAUGUUAGAAUUUAUCGUCAAUAGUUUUAGUUUUUGAAAUUGUGCUUUCAGGUCUUUGGGAUGUACCUGAUGUAUUGUGGUGGCCGCAGAAUCAUUCAAUGACUUGGUUUAAUCCAGGACUUGGUUUUUUUGAAGGUGGUUUACAGUUUUAAUUUUCAGAGAUCCUGGAGGUAUCUGAUGUGUUGCUUUGGUGUUGGAGUUACUCGGUGACAGAAGGGAAUGCCAACAAUGUUAUGUUGUCAGUGUAAAUAAAACAUAUCCAAUAAC
RNAcentral lists this small RNA (6616 nucleotides) under Daphnia magna. Its description in RNAcentral is "uncharacterized LOC116929211, transcript variant X11". The record is from RNAcentral. Lineage: Eukaryota; Metazoa; Arthropoda; Branchiopoda; Diplostraca; Daphniidae.